This 90-nucleotide small nucleolar RNA is filed under the name Gossypium barbadense (sea-island cotton). Its description in RNAcentral is "Plant small nucleolar RNA R71". It matches the Rfam family "Plant small nucleolar RNA R71". From Rfam's summary of the family: R71 is a member of the C/D box family of snoRNAs containing the C (UGAUGA) and D (CUGA) box motifs. Multiple nearly identical copies of this snoRNA have been identified in Arabidopsis, and it is thought to function as a 2'-O-ribose methylation guide for 18S ribosomal RNA. RNAcentral also lists the same sequence under 2 other names. Lineage: Eukaryota; Viridiplantae; Streptophyta; Magnoliopsida; Malvales; Malvaceae. The record is from Rfam by way of RNAcentral.
AACCCAUGGUGAGGGCACCUUCUCAAUAAGUCCUUGUAUCUCUCCCAUGCAUCGUAAAUGCACAAAAGAAGAGAUAUCAUUACGCAAUUU